CUCAUCACAUCCUGGGGCUGUAGUAGGUCCCAAGGGUUGGGCUGUUCGCCCAUUAAAGUGGUACGCGAGCUGGGUUCAGAACGUCGUGAGACAGUUCGGUCCCUAUCCGUCGCAGGCGUAGGAAAUUUGAGAAGACCUGUCCUUAGUACGAGAGGACCGGGAUGGACGUACCUCUGGUGUACCAGUUGUUCUGCCAAGGGCAUGGCUGGGUAGCUAUGUACGGAAUGGAUAAGCGCUGAAAGCAUCUAAGCGCGAAGCCAACUUCAAGAUAAGAUUUCCCACCGCAAGGGUAAGACCCCAGAAAGACUAUCUGGUUGAUAGGUCGAAGGUGUAAGUGCAGCAAUGUAUUUAGCUUAUCGAUACUAAUAGGUCGAGGACUUGACCAAU
This 387-nucleotide ribosomal RNA is filed under the name Clostridioides difficile. Its description in RNAcentral is "partial 23S ribosomal RNA". It matches the Rfam family "Bacterial large subunit ribosomal RNA", at positions 2536 to 2925 of the family's 2925-position model. The record is from RNAcentral. Lineage: Bacteria; Bacillati; Bacillota; Clostridia; Peptostreptococcales; Peptostreptococcaceae.